This 227-nucleotide ribosomal RNA is filed under the name uncultured bacterium. RNAcentral describes it as "partial 16S ribosomal RNA". It matches the Rfam family "Bacterial small subunit ribosomal RNA", at positions 524 to 746 of the family's 1533-position model. The record is from RNAcentral.
UACGAAGGGGACUAGCGUUGUUCGGAAUCACUGGGCGUAAAGCGCACGUAGGCGGAUUUGUAAGUCAGGGGGUGAAAAUCCGGGGCUCAACCCCGGACUUGCAGUGGGUACGGGCAGACUAGAGUGUGGUAGGGGGAGACUGGAAUUCCUGGUGUAGCGGUGGAAUGCGCAGAUAUCAGGAGGAACACCGGUGGGCGAAGGCGGGGUCUCUGGGCAGUAACUGACGC